RNAcentral lists this transfer RNA (75 nucleotides) under Erysipelotrichaceae bacterium. Its description in RNAcentral is "tRNA-Gln". It matches the Rfam family "tRNA". Rfam says of the family: Transfer RNA (tRNA) molecules are approximately 80 nucleotides in length. Their secondary structure includes four short double-helical elements and three loops (D, anti-codon, and T loops). Further hydrogen bonds mediate the characteristic L-shaped molecular structure. tRNAs have two regions of fundamental functional importance: the anti-codon, which is responsible for specific mRNA codon recognition, and the 3' end, to which the tRNAs corresponding amino acid is attached (by aminoacyl-tRNA synthetases). tRNAs cope with the degeneracy of the genetic code in two manners: having more than one tRNA (with a specific anti-codon) for a particular amino acid; and 'wobble' base-pairing, i.e. permitting non-standard base-pairing at the 3rd anti-codon position. Lineage: Bacteria; Bacillati; Bacillota; Erysipelotrichia; Erysipelotrichales; Erysipelotrichaceae. The record is from RNAcentral.
AGCGGCUUCGCCAAGCGGUAAGGCAACGGACUCUGACCCCGUUAUUCACAGGUUCGAUCCCUGUAGCCGCUGCCA